RNAcentral lists this transfer RNA (62 nucleotides) under Tetanops sintenisi. RNAcentral's name for it is "tRNA-Cys". Lineage: Eukaryota; Metazoa; Arthropoda; Insecta; Diptera; Ulidiidae. The record is from RNAcentral.
AGCCUUGUAGUCAAUAAUGACAUUAGACUGCAAUUCUAAAGGAGUAAAUUUUACUAAGGCUU